This 450-nucleotide ribosomal RNA is filed under the name uncultured bacterium. Its description in RNAcentral is "bacterial SSU rRNA". It matches the Rfam family "Bacterial small subunit ribosomal RNA", at positions 354 to 796 of the family's 1533-position model. The record is from RNAcentral.
GUAGGGAAUAUUGCGCAAUGGGCGAAAGCCUGACGCAGCCAUGCCGCGUGAGUGACGAAGGCCUUCGGGUCGUAAAGCUCUUUUCUGAGGGAAGAACACCCGGUGGAGGAAAUGCCACCGGCUUGACGGUACCUCAGGAAUAAGGAACGGCUAACUCCGUGCCAGCAGCCGCGGUAAUACGGAGGUUCCAAGCGUUGUUCGGAAUUACUGGGCGUAAAGGGGGCGCAGGCGGCCAAAUUAGUCUAAAGUGGAAUCCCGGGGCUCAACCUCGGAAAGCCUUUGGAUACUGUUUGGCUUGAGUACGUGAGAGGAAGGCGGAAUUCAAGGUGUAGCGGUGAAAUGCUUAGAUAUCUUGAGGAACACCAAUGGCGAAAGCAGCCUUCUGGCACGACACUGACGCUGAGGCCCGAAAGCGUGGGGAGCAAACAGGAUUAGAAACCCCUGUAGUCC